Molecule: ribosomal RNA, 347 nt
Filed under: uncultured bacterium
Lineage: Bacteria
Description: partial 16S ribosomal RNA
Rfam family: Bacterial small subunit ribosomal RNA
Source: RNAcentral
CCUACGGGUGGCAGCAGUGAGGAAUAUUGGUCAAUGGGCGGAAGCCUGAACCAGCCAAGUAGCGUGCAGGAUGACGGCCCUACGGGUUGUAAACUGCUUUUAUACGGGAAUAACGCGCCUUACGUGGAGGGCUUUGCAUGUACCGUAUGAAUAAGGACCGGCUAAUUCCGUGCCAGCAGCCGCGGUAAUACGGAAGGGCCGGGCGUUAUCCGGAUUUAUUGGGUUGAAAGGGAGCGUAGACCGCAUGUCAAGCGUGCUGGGAAAUGUCCGGGCUCACCCCGGGCCUUGCAGCGCGAACUGGCGUGCUUGAGUCCGCGUCACGCAGGCGCAAUUCGUCGUGUAGCGGU